RNAcentral lists this transfer RNA (83 nucleotides) under Acetobacteraceae bacterium. Its description in RNAcentral is "tRNA-Leu". It matches the Rfam family "tRNA". From Rfam's summary of the family: Transfer RNA (tRNA) molecules are approximately 80 nucleotides in length. Their secondary structure includes four short double-helical elements and three loops (D, anti-codon, and T loops). Lineage: Bacteria; Pseudomonadati; Pseudomonadota; Alphaproteobacteria; Acetobacterales; Acetobacteraceae. The record is from RNAcentral.
GCCCGCCUGGCGGAAUGGUAGACGCAGCGGACUUAAAAUCCGUAGCUCGCAAGGGUGUGGGGGUUCAAGUCCCCCGGUGGGCA